This 73-nucleotide transfer RNA is filed under the name Listeria monocytogenes. RNAcentral's name for it is "tRNA-Pro". The stretch from base 8 to 66 matches the Rfam family "tRNA", at positions 8 to 63 of the family's 71-position model. From Rfam's summary of the family: Transfer RNA (tRNA) molecules are approximately 80 nucleotides in length. Their secondary structure includes four short double-helical elements and three loops (D, anti-codon, and T loops). Further hydrogen bonds mediate the characteristic L-shaped molecular structure. tRNAs have two regions of fundamental functional importance: the anti-codon, which is responsible for specific mRNA codon recognition, and the 3' end, to which the tRNAs corresponding amino acid is attached (by aminoacyl-tRNA synthetases). tRNAs cope with the degeneracy of the genetic code in two manners: having more than one tRNA (with a specific anti-codon) for a particular amino acid; and 'wobble' base-pairing, i.e. permitting non-standard base-pairing at the 3rd anti-codon position. Lineage: Bacteria; Bacillati; Bacillota; Bacilli; Caryophanales; Listeriaceae. The record is from RNAcentral.
GAGCCGUUAGCUCAGCUUGGUAGAGCACUUGGUUUGGGACCAAGGGGUCGCAGGUUCGAAUCCUGUCUUCCCG